GGGAAGAGGAAACAGGAAGCGGGGGUUGUUGUUGUUUUUAGUAGGACACUGGUGCAGCAGUGAAGCCUCGAAGAUCCAGGAUGAAGUGUGCAUAUUUUAACGGAAACUGGACCAGUUUUGGGGAAGUUCCAGCUCCCAGGAUGUGAUGUGGAGACCCAGCCUCGAACAAAGUCAGGCCUGAAAAGGCUAACAACCCUGACCGCGGUGGCCUUGGAUUCCUGGCCAGAGUUGUCUUCAGCCAGUAGUUUGACCCGGAGAAAGAACAAAUAAAUCUUGUGCACCCCAUUGCAGUGCGUGUGGUGGUUGGUUACUGGUCGAUAUUAGAGCUACUUUCGAUUGCACUAUAUGUGUACUGUAUCACAUAACCUCUCUUCUACAAAAAUAUUUACAUCGUAUAGAACGGAAAAUAAAAAAGCCUGGAAUUAUUUGCUCUCUACAUAUAUGUACAUCAAAUGACUACAUUAAAAUAAUUACAUUACACAAUUUGAUCUCCUGAUCUCGAUAUUCCUGAGUCCACACUUGUUUAUAACAUGCACAUUUUGUUUAAAGGCUCUCAUCUGUAUCACAGACGUGUGUGGACACGGAGCGUUUUCAAAUCUACCUGUGCUACUGUGGAUGUAGUCUAAAGCUAUUCCAGCGUGCAGCAAAGCGAGUGAAAUAUGCAACUUCAUCUUAUUCUGCACAUCUUUUCUGCGAGACCUGUUGCAGUAUUGAUGGUCUUGUUGUGAAGGGUCCUCCCACUGUGUGUGGACUGAGUGCAGAUGUGGCUCAGGGGUUGUGUGGAGAUGCUGGACUGGUCUAAGAUGACGAAGCUUCCACUGCACAUUCUGAAUAACACAAAUAUAUCAUCAGA
Molecule: long non-coding RNA, 853 nt
Organism: Astatotilapia calliptera (eastern happy)
Lineage: Eukaryota; Metazoa; Chordata; Actinopteri; Cichliformes; Cichlidae
Source: Ensembl